GCGUGCCUGUAAAGAAACCAUUUAGAUGAGGAAAGGGAGGAGAUAAGGAUCCUGAAAAGAAAGGACUGUGCCAAAAAGAAGGGUUUCCAAGCAGCAGAAGAGGUCCUGGAAAGAAAACCGGAGUCUCAAAAAGGAAGCAGUGAAGAUCCUGGCUGUUAGGAAGAUCCUGGUGAGAAGGAGAUGGGUGGAGACCAGUGCCAGCAGACCUUGCCCCAGGACUGGUACCUGGAGCAGCUGCCCACUGCCAGCUGACACAGCUCCCUGCUGGAUUUCCCCAGGCCAGCAGCAACCUCCCUGCUGGGAAGGAUGAUUACUUCAGAUCAAGAAUAGAGAGAGAAAAAAUGAACUAAAAUUGCACCAUCUGCUGGAGAAAAUGAAACACCUAAAAUAUUGUAGGAAGUGAAAAAGUCAAUUGAAUCGUCUGCCUUUUAAAACAGAAGAUCCAAACCAAGUUUAAGCUGCAAAGAUGGAUGGUUUACCUAAGUAAUUCAAACAACCAUUUCGCAAAUUCUCACUCAAUCAAAAGUUGUUACUCAGGAAGAACUUGGAAAGAAGAUCUGAGAGGCUGGGCAGGACAGGAAUGAGAUAUGAUUACAGGGACAGUGCAUCUUAGCUUCUUUAGGUCUGAUGCGAUCAGUACAUAUGUUGGCAGCACACUGUCAUAGUCCCAUGUUUGAGAAAGAGCACUGUGGAAGUGCUUUCGUUGCACAAAUGAUUUCUUCUCUAACAGGACUCUGUUGGUUUCAGAAUAAUCUCAGACAGAAGAAAUCCCAUUUACCUAUG
Coturnix japonica (Japanese quail) is the source of this 783-nucleotide long non-coding RNA. RefSeq lists it as uncharacterized. The record is from RefSeq and is a predicted model, not a curated record. NCBI's taxonomy places the organism in Eukaryota, Metazoa, Chordata, Aves, Galliformes, Phasianidae.